RNAcentral lists this non-coding RNA (158 nucleotides) under human gut metagenome. The record is from RNAcentral.
AGGGACUUAGAAGUUCUUCUGUUUUGUUUCAUCAUACAGCAAGGAUUGGACACGGAUGUCCAAUCCAAGGGCAAUCGUGCCUGGAUGGCUCGUUGACCUGUUUGCGUACCUAUACACUAACCUUCUACAAAACAAAUAGAACUUCUUAGUUCCGUAGA